CCGCGUCUCUUCCUCAAUAGUAUUAGCUCGCUCUCUCUCUCUCUCUCUCAAAACCCCUAACAGAUUUCCGAAAUCUUUAACAGUCAGUUUUGCUGCUAUUCAUAUCAGACGAGAAGUUACGAAGUCUGAGGUCAAGUACUUGUCGGAGUUUCCUCUCUCAGCAGUCCGGUCGAACUUUAGCUAUACCGGCAUUUUCCAAGGGAACAUUUGUCGAUUCAUGGGACUUGCUCUUUGGUUUCUGGGACAGUUAGGACUGCUACCGAGGAGCCGUUUUCUAUUGUCAUUCAAUUGAAUUUCGAAACUGGAAAAUCAGGAAUUUCCUUCUCUUUGAUUUUCUUCCUCUUUCCUUGACCAGCAGUUUCUGCACUGAGUACUGAAAUGGAAUGUACAUUAUAUUCUCCAAUGAUGAUUAAGUUACGUA
Non-coding RNA from Theobroma umbraticum, 421 nucleotides. The record is from RefSeq and is a predicted model, not a curated record. Lineage: Eukaryota; Viridiplantae; Streptophyta; Magnoliopsida; Malvales; Malvaceae.